GUGGGGAAUCUUGCACAAUGGAGGAAACUCUGAUGCAGCGACGCCGCGUGAGCGAUGAAGCCCUUCGGGGUGUAAAGCUCUUUCGACGGGAAAGAUCAUGACGGUACCCGGAGAAGAAGCUGCGGCUAACUACGUGCCAGCAGCCGCGGUAAUACGUAGGCAGCGAGCGUUGUUCGGAAUUACUGGGCGUAAAGAGUGUGUAGGCGGUGUUCCAAGUCUGGUGUGAAAUCUCCCGGCUUAACUGGGAGGGUGCGCCGGAAACUGGAAUGCUCGAGGGUGGGAGAGGUAAGCGGAAUUCCUGGUGUAGCGGUGAAAUGCGUAGAUAUCAGGAGGAACACCUGUGGUGUAGACAGCUUACUGGACCACUUCUGACGCUGAGACACGAAAGCGUGGGUAGCAAACAGGAUUAGAAACCCGUGUAGUCC
Molecule: ribosomal RNA, 425 nt
Filed under: uncultured bacterium
Lineage: Bacteria
Description: bacterial SSU rRNA
Rfam family: Bacterial small subunit ribosomal RNA
Source: RNAcentral